GAUGAACGCUAGCGACAGGCCUAACACAUGCAAGUCGAGGGGCAGCAUGAUUUGUAGCAAUACAGAUUGAUGGCGACCGGCGCACGGGUGAGUAACGCGUAUGCAACUUACCUAUCAGAGGGGGAUAGCCCGGCGAAAGUCGGAUUAAUACCCCAUAAAACAGGGGGUCCCGCAUGGGAAUAUUUGUUAAAGAUUCAUCGCUGAUAGAUAGGCAUGCGUUCCAUUAGGCAGUUGGCGGGGUAACGGCCCACCAAACCGACGAUGGAUAGGGGUUCUGAGAGGAAGGUCCCCCACAUUGGUACUGAGACACGGACCAAACUCCUACGGGAGGCAGCAGUGAGGAAUAUUGGUCAAUGGCCGAGAGGCUGAACCAGCCAAGUCGCGUGAAGGAAGAAGGAUCUAUGGUUUGUAAACUUCUUUUAUAGGGGAAUAAAGUGGAGGACGUGUCCUUUUUUGUAUGUACCCUAUGAAUAAGCAUCGGCUAACUCCGUGCCAGCAGCCGCGGUAAUACGGAGGAUGCGAGCGUUAUCCGGAUUUAUUGGGUUUAAAGGGUGCGUAGGUGGUGAUUUAAGUCAGCGGUGAAAGUUUGUGGCUCAACCAUAAAAUUGCCGUUGAAACUGGGUUACUUGAGUGUGUUUGAGGUAGGCGGAAUGCGUGGUGUAGCGGUGAAAUGCAUAGAUAUCACGCAGAACUCCGAUUGCGAAGGCAGCUUACUAAACCAUAACUGACACUGAAGCACGAAAGCGUGGGGAUCAAGCAGGAUUAGAUACCCUGGUAGUCCACGCAGUAAACG
RNAcentral lists this ribosomal RNA (793 nucleotides) under uncultured bacterium. RNAcentral describes it as "bacterial SSU rRNA". It matches the Rfam family "Bacterial small subunit ribosomal RNA", at positions 28 to 808 of the family's 1533-position model. The record is from RNAcentral.